AACGAACGCUGGCGGCAUGCCUAACACAUGCAAGUCGAACGAGACCUUCGGGUCUAGUUGCGCACGGGUGCGUCACGCGUGGGAACCUGCACUUAGGUUCGGAAUAACUCUCCGCAAGGGGUGCUAAUACCGGACAAUGUCUUCGGACCAAAGAUUUAUCGCCUCUGGAUGGGCGCGCUUUGGAUUAGCUAGUUGGUAAGGUAAAAGACUACCCAGGCGACGUUACCUAGCUGGUCUGAGAGGAUGAGCAGCCACACUGGGGGAGGGACACGGCUCGGACUUCUGCGGAAGGCAGCAAUGCUGAAUAUGGGACGAUGGGCGAGUGAAGGAGGCUGUAAGGUCGUGAGAGUCAUGAAGUCGUGAAGGUUGUAAAGGACUGUGGAAAGCGCAGAUAGUGACGGUACCUAAAGAGUAAGCGCCGGCUAACUCCGUG
This 433-nucleotide ribosomal RNA is filed under the name uncultured bacterium. RNAcentral's name for it is "partial 16S ribosomal RNA". It matches the Rfam family "Bacterial small subunit ribosomal RNA", at positions 29 to 507 of the family's 1533-position model. The record is from RNAcentral.